Molecule: long non-coding RNA, 1424 nt
Filed under: Canis lupus familiaris (dog)
Lineage: Eukaryota; Metazoa; Chordata; Mammalia; Carnivora; Canidae
Description: lncRNA (ENSCAFG00000053990.1)
Source: RNAcentral
AAGAGAGACUUCUCUUCAGGGAACAGCCUCAUUCCAGGUUUCUCCAUUGUUGCCUCUCACUGGGGGCAUAAGAUGUGUGGGACCAAGGGGACAAGCCCCCAAGAACCCAAGCCCCCAGAAUUAUCUGCCCAAAUGGCACCGAGCUCCCAUCCAAGCCCUUCCGGAGUCUACACUCCCACGUGUAUUUACCACUGGGCCCCGUGCGUGGUGGCCCGGUUGGGUACUGGGAAUACGGAUAGAGCUUGGACAUGUCAUCCGUAGCACCCACAUGCAUGCACUCCAUGAGUGGGGGGCCCCUUAUGAUGCAGGUCAGAGUGGGGCUGGAAACAGAGGAGAAACAGGGCCACGGGCCUCAGGAAGGAGCAUGGAGGAGUGUUGGCUGGCGGCCCAUACCCUCGCUGGAGCUCUGAGGGCUGAGGGUGCUAAUCAAAUCCAUCCUUCUAUCUCGAAUGAAAGCCGGCUUAUCAAAAGAGGAGGGCAGGGCCUAUCCUAAUUAAGCUUCUUCAGUUGAUUUAUAACUUCUGCAGAUAUGGCCGAUAUGCCUCCACCUGUCCUCUUGCUCCAGUCCCAAACACACGAGGGAGAAUCAGACCCGCAGCCCUUGGGGCUCAGCUCAGAGGGGCUCGUGCUGCACAUCCUCUGAUCCCCCUGGGAGCUCUCAGGACCUUGUCUUGUUCUGCAGCUAAGCCUUGAAGGAACUGGGUCUUACGAGCCAUCGUGGUUCUUGGCUCACCCCUCAAGGUUCACCUUCACUAAGUCAAGCAAAUAGCCAGACUUGUAUAACUGUUGCUUGUCAGCUCAGAGAGCGGUGGAACAAAAGAAGUCGAGAUCAUCUCCAGGGGGUCUGCCUGGAUAGAGCAAGAAAGGCUAAACAGACAACUCUAGCACAGUUCACCUCUGCGUGACCUUGACUCCAAUCCCAGAUGCUUAAAUCCCAAAUUCACUCUCAAUCCUGAUGGAAGCCACACCAACCGUUUACUUUUAUUUUCCAGUUUUCUCCUGUGUAAACGUCUAAUAUUUAUUCGGAGAUUAUCUAUUAACACGUGUUACUAAUUUAUCAUUUGCCUUAAGGAUCUUGGGUGGCUCCUUUCAGCAAAUAUUUGACGACCUCGGGAUACAGCAGGAAAUACAACAGUGAACAAGAAAGGCUUAUCUUUACCUUUGAGAAACUCACAGGCUGGCAGGGACAAGCACAUCGAACAGGCACACGUAAGGAAUUCCGCAAGUCAUUGAUUGCAAUUCUCACAGGUGUUUCAGAAGAAAGUAUGGGAGCCCAAAGGGGCGCUAAGAGGGGACAGAUCGAGCGUCCCUGAGGCCAUGGGACUUAAGCCGAGGGACAUGAAGCAGCACCAGCCAAAGGCAAGCCUUCGAGAGGAAAACCCUGGGCCUCGAGGAGGGAAGGAACCCGGCACAGUGGAGGAACA